RNAcentral lists this ribosomal RNA (121 nucleotides) under Erinaceus europaeus (western European hedgehog). Lineage: Eukaryota; Metazoa; Chordata; Mammalia; Eulipotyphla; Erinaceidae. The record is from RNAcentral.
GUUUAAACAAACACCACCCUGAACACACCCGAUGUCAUCUGAUCUCAGAAGCUAAGCAGGGUUGGGCCUGGUUAGUACUUGGAUGGGAGAAAGGAGUAGAAUCAGACAGGGUUCAUAUACC